UGGUGACGCUGAAUGGAUUUGACAAUGAAGUAGAGUUGCAACAUGAGCAACUCCUGAAGUUAGGCCACCUUUGAACACUGAUAGAGGCAGCAGUAGAGGAAAAAUCCUUGAAGCAGUUAAGAACAAGCCAGAGAAACUCAGCCUGCACCUUGUCUCCUGAAACCACCUCAGCUCUGGAGCACCAAGACACCAACAGAGCCUCAAGUGUCUGAGUCGGAAGGGCAGCUGGGUCAGCAUUGGCAUCCCUCACCUCAGAGCUGCUGAACUGAACACCCUCACACGAGUCUUUUCCUCUGGGAGGUGAUGAAAAAGCAGUGAGCACAGCCCUUGAUGUCCAGACUCCUCAACAGACCUUGGAUCACACUUCACCUUCCAGGCUGGAUGCUCUUGUUGCACGAGGAUUUCCUGAAGGAAUUUCUGGACAAUCUGGGGGUAGGAAAAAGGACGGUGCUGAUUUUGCUGUUACAUCAAAUCACUUGUUGGACUGUAAUUUGUGAAGAUACUGGAUGACAGGUCUUUGUCUGCCUGGCUGUUAAAAAGAAGAGGUUGGCAUUCUAGAGGUAAUAAAGCAAG
This 573-nucleotide long non-coding RNA is filed under the name Zonotrichia albicollis (white-throated sparrow). Its description in RNAcentral is "lncRNA (ENSZALG00000018168.1)". The record is from RNAcentral. Lineage: Eukaryota; Metazoa; Chordata; Aves; Passeriformes; Passerellidae.